ACACAAUGCAACACUGCUGAUCUAUUGGAGCUCUUCGCCAUGUGUUUAUUGAAAACAGAAAAGUAUAAUCUUGCUGAACUUAAAGUUAAACAGGCCAUACAAGUAGCAAGCUCUAAAGAACAAAGUACCAGGUUAAAACUAUUGAAAUGUCAUUUAGAAGAUAAGAUUCAACAGUUGAGUGAGUUUAAAACUGAGAAAUGUAAAUUUAGUAUCAGCACUUCAGAAAUAUUUGUACA
Molecule: long non-coding RNA, 236 nt
Organism: Mytilus trossulus (common blue mussel)
Lineage: Eukaryota; Metazoa; Mollusca; Bivalvia; Mytilida; Mytilidae
Exons: 3
Source: RefSeq, a predicted model, not a curated record